Dermacentor andersoni is the source of this 440-nucleotide long non-coding RNA. RefSeq lists it as uncharacterized. Lineage: Eukaryota; Metazoa; Arthropoda; Arachnida; Ixodida; Ixodidae. The record is from RefSeq and is a predicted model, not a curated record.
AAGACCUGUGGAAGUCAAGCAUCUGGAAUGUGUCGUUUGUAUAGUGCCCUGCUUCCCAUGCUGCUGUAUCUUUUCCUCUUCUCCCUAAGUGCGGAAUCCAGCUGCCCCGAUAAAGACCACCUACCAAGUGACUGCAAGUAUUGUUACAACAGUGAAGGACAACGCUGGGGCUGCUGGUCGGAAAAUAGAUGCCCAUAUCCCUGUGACUUUUGUUACGGAUUCCAAGCAGGCUGCGCCGGAGCAUGCGCCUACAACGAAACAGCUUAUUGGAUAAGAAGAAGAGAAAUGGUGCAAACAGCGCCACCAUGCUUUCCGAAAAAAUCAUGUUGAUGAAUUGUUUCAUCGAAUAUGUCUUAAAAGUUUGCUAAAUUACAUCCUGUUUCAAUUUUCAAAUAUUGUGAAUACCCUGUGAAUAAAGUGAUAUUUCUUAUUGUGUGAAA